UCACCGCCCAGCAGGAUGCCAUUGGCUGUCUGCCGGAAGCUGGGCGUGCCGGAAGCUGGGCGUGCCGGGAGCUGGGCGUGCCCCCUGCGCAUGCGCUGUUCCCACGUGCUUCCGAGACGCCAUGGACCUCUGCUGAGACCGGUGAGCACCAUGCUGCGAAUCUCUGUCUUUCAGGCUCUGAGGCUCCUGGCGGCCUCUAGGGUCCCUCUUUUGGGGGGCCCCGGCGCGCGCUGUUACGGCUCGGGUGGCCCGACUGUCGGCAGCAACGCGGCCCACCCGCACGACUUCUUCACCACGCCUAUCUUCUAUGUGAACGCGGCGCCGCACAUCGGGCACCUGUACUCGGCGCUGCUCGGCGACGCCCUGUGUCGCCACCGCAGCCUUCGGGCUCCCAGCGGAGCCGCCGCGCGCCUGUCCACCGGCACUGAUGAGCACGGCCUGAAGAUCCAGCAGGCGGCGGCCGCCGCGGGCCUGGCCCCGCGCGUGCUGUGCGACCGCGUCUCCGCGCAGUUCCGCCGGCUGUUCCGGGACGCGGGCGUCGCCGCCACCGACUUCUUCCGCACCACCGAGGCGCGGCACCAGGAGGCCGUGCAACACUUCUGGGAGGUGCUGGCGGCCCGGGGUCUGCUUUACAAAGGGCUCUACGAAGGCUGGUACUGCUCCUCCGACGAGUGCUUCCUGCCCGAAGCCAAGGUCACCCGACAGCCGGGCCCUUCAGGGGAGUCGUGUCCUGUGUCCCUCGAGAGCGGGCACCCCGUCUCCUGGACUGAGGAGGAAAACUACAUUUUCAGGCUGUCCCAGUUCCGAGAACCUGUCCAGCGGUGGCUACGAAGCAACCCGCGGGCCAUUGUCCCCGAGCCUUUCCAUCGUUUGGUCUUGCAGUGGCUGGAGGAGGAGCUGCCUGACCUCUCAGUGUCUCGCAGGAGCAGCCACCUGCACUGGGGCAUUCCUGUCCCUGGAGACGAUUCGCAGACCAUUUACGUGUGGUUGGACGCGCUGGUCAGCUACCUCACUGUCAUUGGCUACCCGAACGCAGAGUUCAGAUCUUGGUGGCCGGCAUCCCAAGUCAUAGGUAAGGACAUUCUCAAGUUCCAUGCCAUCUAUUGGCCUGCCCUCCUCCUUGGAGCUGGAUUGAACCCUCCACGUCGCAUCUACGUCCACUCCCACUGGACAGUGUGUGGCCAGAAGAUGUCCAAGAGCUUGGGCAACGUGGUGGAUCCUGUGGCCUGUCUGGAUCGCUAUACUGUGGAUGGCUUCCGCUACUUUCUCCUCCGGCAGGGCGUUCCCAACUGGGACUGUGACUACAACGACGAGAAGGUGGUUAAGCUGCUGGACUCCGAGCUGGCGGAUGCGCUGGGGGGCCUUCUGAACCGGUGCACCGCCGGCAGAAUCAAUCCCUCUGGCACCUACCCGGCUUUCUGCACUGCCUGCUUCCCGACUGAGCCAGGGUCGCAGGGGCCGGCAGUUCGCGCGCAGGCAGAGGACUAUGCUCUUUUGAAUGCAGUGGCUGCUUUGCCUGAGCAAGUGGCCAACUACUAUGAUAACUUUCAAAUCUAUAAAGCCCUGGAGGCGGUGUCCAGCUGUGUUCGGCAGACCAACGGUUUUGUCCAAAGGCAUGCUCCGUGGAAGUUGAGUUGGGAGAGCCCAAGGGACGCUCCUUGGUUGGGGACAGUACUUCAUGUGGCCUUCGAGUGUUUGCGAGUCUUUGGCACUUUGCUUCAGCCGGUUACCCCAAGCCUAGCUGAUAAACUGCUGUCCAGGCUGGGGGUGUCUGCCGCAGAGAGGGGCCUUCAGCAGCUCUUUUUCCUCCCUCGGUUCUAUGGACGACAGUGCCCUUUUGAAGGGAGGCGGCUGGGUCCUGAAACUGGGCUUUUGUUUCCAAGGCUGGACCAGUCCAGGGUUCGGAUGGUGAAAGCUCAGGGGACAUAGAGACUCAGUUCUUCCUGGUUUGUGGUAAAAUUCAAAUGUUUUUCCUUUUAGGAAAGUUUUACUCGUGUUUUCUAAAGUGUUGCAUCAGAUGAGCACACAAGCUGUGUGUUUCCCUGUGACAGGGCCUCCAAGCACCUGCCCUGGUUCAUUUCUCUUUGGCCAUUAACAACUGGCUUUGUCCCACAAGUCUGCAGGAAAGAUGGGUAAGAGAUGGGGGUGCUGAUACUGUUCCUCUCAUUGUACCCUUUUCCAGCCAGCGAUUUGUGCAGUCUACCUCGUAGGGUGUCCGCUUGUCAGGCUAAUUAGUACAGUGACAUCCUUGUGAGUAGGGUUUGGAGGUCCCCAGCCCUAGCUUCUGCCUACUUUGGUAGAUGGUUAACCCUACUUUGUUAUGUGUAACUGGGUCUCCUGUUAAAAAGGAAUUCUUUUACUUAAACUUGAAAACCUUGUGUCCUAGACGAGAUGAGUUUUGCUUACGUUCAUCCCUAUUUAAAUUCCUGCAGCCAGGACACUCUUAGUCCAACAGUCCUGGUCUAACUAGUAGGUGGCUGUGGUCGCACACAGUUAAGAUUGAGGUUUCAGAAUAUUUAAAAUAAAUUAGUUUCUGCUUCUUCACCUCUUGGGUCUUUCACUUAUUUUAAGGGGUAACUGCAACCACUGUUGUUUUAACAGAAAGCAAUAAAGUAGAAUUUUCAGUUUCUUAAAGACUACUGAAAAAUGACACUUGCUACUAUGCUAGUGUUUCACAUUGUUUAUGUGAUAAACUAUGAAACUUGAGGCACUUGAUGUUAAAAAUUUCCAACUUUAAUAACAAGUAUGACUAAUUUGUAGACUUCAAAAGAGCAAUACUCUAUUUGUUCUUAAUUUUGUUAUUCACACACAUAAUUUACCUCAUGAUUCCUUUUGGUCAAUUGAGAUGUCAUGUAGAAAUUGUGUAAUAGUUGCUGAAAAUAUUAAUACUUGAAUUCAAGUUUUUUCUGAUUGUUUUGCUCUUUUAAUUUAUUAAAGUUUAAAGGUUCUGAGUGCCUUUUUUAGAUCUGUUCUGGAGAAUUUGUUGAGGUGAGGGUGGAGGGAAGAACUGAUCAGUGCUCCAGGAGUCUCCGACUGAACUUGGAGAUCUCUCCACGGCUCCCCAGGAGAACCUCCCAGAGGAGAUUUUUAAGUUAUUAGUUUAUACAAUGGCUCAACCUAGGAAACCAGAAUGAUGUAGGUGACUGUAGCUGUGAGGAAUCAAAUGCAACUUCCCUCAGAAAAUCAGAAGUGUGGUAGCAGGCAAAAAGUGUGUUAGCAGUUCCCCUGGAAUCAGCAAGGCAAAGGGAUUCCUAGUUGCUGGGAAAAUAAUGCCUAGAGGCAUUCUGACGUAGAAGGACCAUUUCUGAAAACUGGUCCUCUGGGCUGGCUGGCACCCUGUUGGUUACUGGGGGCUUUCAUAUGACGCACGGUGUUACAGGGAUGGGCAAAGCAGGAAGCGUCUCCCAGGGCUGGAAGGAGCAGAGGCUGGUGAAGAUGGCAAGUGUGAAUACAAAGGAAGGGACACAUUUGGACAAGUAGUGAGGCCAUGACCUCUGUGUCCUUACAGCUGCAAGACAGUUCCUGCCAGGGCUGGAGACACAGUGUCUUUCCCUUGAAACUUUCUGUGGCUUGCAGUGGUCAUGCACAGGUGCGUGGCUUGCUGAUGGAUGUGAGUGGAGUUCGUUUUGUGCAGCCUGUCACAGGUGCAGGACUUAGCUGGCCUCUUGGAUGUGUGGUUAAGGUACUCAGAAACACCCAAAACAGACAGCGCAGUUAUCCCAGAAGACGGGAUGCUCUGAGCAGAGCCAUUGUCGAAUCUGGUUGUGAUCAUCAGUUGGUUGUAAACACGCUGCUCUGGACCAGCUGGACACAUUGGACCUGACUUUGUGGUGCUAUGAACAGUGACCCAGGUUCUCUGGAGUGCCAAAGCACAGCAUGGAAAACAAAUAUUUUUUUAAAAAAACUUGUUUUAUAAAAUGCUAAUGCUAGAGUUAUUCAAGCUUGACAGCUGAGAUCAUCCUUCCUGUGUUGGGGAUGGGAGCAGGGGGCCUUGUGCUGGACAGGUGCUCUACCACUGAGCCAUAUCGCCAGCCCAGCAGCAAGGUUUCCCUAAAGUUAAAAGGGCCUAAAAAACACAUCUUUGGUCCCUUGGAUCAUUAAUCCACACUUUUCCAUCACAUUUUCUGACCUUUUUUCUCCAAGGCUUAGAACUGUGGGGAUAGUCAUUGGUGUAGCCUCUGCUUUUAGGUAUCUGGGGCCACAUUCUCAAGCCAGCAAUUUUAGAGGAACAGUCUAAAGAACAAAUGAAUGAUGCGUGUUAUCUACAUUCCGGACAUGAGGUUAGAAAUCUGCUUGGCAGCGUUAGGAAGUUUUCCACUUGGUUCCAAACUUGGAGAAAUACAUUUUGGAAGAUGAAUUGGCUGUCUAUGGUGGUUCUGUUUAUAGCCUCCUAUUCCUUGAGCCCCUUGACUGGAGCUUUUCAGUUACAUUUAAUUAUAUGUAUGGAGGUUGUAACUUCUUGAUAACAAGAGACUGAUAAUCCUAAAAAAUGCCCUCUGCAGUAUACAGUGGAUCCUUGACUUGGAAACUCAAUGCAUUUCUGUGGGCUGGCCAUAACUCCUGUUGGGGAUUAAAGUCUCCUGUACACAGGCAGACCUUAAUGUCCAUUCAAACACUGGUCCAGAAUUUCUCACUCCACACAGGAAAGGAGGUUGUAAUGUUCCUUCCAGACCUCUUUAAGGGUUAAACCUGGAUCUGAGACCAUCUGGAUGGACAGGCAGCCUGCAUUGAGCUCAUAGCUCAAGUCUCUCAGUCGUAAGCUAAAACAAAUCCUGGUCAUAACCCAAGUUGUUCGUAUGUUAGGCAGGAUGUAACUCAAUGGUCCACUGUAUUUUAGAAUAGCUUUAAAAGUCACCUAGGAAUUUUAAAGGGUCUUUGGUUACAUUUUUCUUAUUACUGAGAUAAAAUACCUGACACCCAACAUUAAGAAGGAAAGGUUUAUUUAGCUCACAGUUUGUGGAGGUUUCUGUUCAUAAUCGCUAGCUCCCAGGCAGGAUGGCAUGGCACAAAGGCAACUAACUGUUUAUGACGGUGGCAGAUACGAAAAGCGGCAAGAACAAAAAGGCAAAAGAGGGAAGCACGCCUCUUGCCCUCAUAUGUAUGCCAGCUCCCUGCCCCAGGUGGGUACAGCACUCACACUAGACAACAAACCAAUCACAGAAGCUAGAUUCAGCCAUCUUUGAAAGGCUUACUGCCCAUGACCGUAUGAGGCUUUGGGGAGACAUUUAGACAGAAGCCAUAACUGCCUUUGAAGUAAAGAAUUUAAUAAAUUGGAUUAAGUUGCUAUAAAACUUAGCAGAAACUCUAUGUAGGUUAUAUAAGAAGCAGAACUUGUAGCACUGAGCUUUUUUUGUCAGUGCUGGGCAUUGAACCUAGGGCCUUGUGUUAGGUAAUUGCUGUACCACUGAGUUACAUCCCCAGCCCAGGUUUUACUUCAUUCCUAGAAUGCAGUUAAGUAAAAUUAUAAUGCAUAAGAAUCCUAUUUUAAUACUAUAGAAGAAAACUACUGACAUAAAGUUCAGUGUUAAAAGUAUGUAUGAGUAACAUGAAAGCUGACAGCUGGGUUUUCUUUUUUUUGUUUUGUCUUUUUCCUUUUUAUCGGUACUGGGGAUCGAACUCACAACUACCUGCUUUCAAGGCAGGCGCUUAUGCCACUGAGCAACAGCUGGAUUUUCAUGCCAGUCUCCCCCUCCGGGUGCCACAGACUUGUUGCCGUGGGCCACGGGCCGCAGCCCAGAGUGACUGGGCGUCCACCGGCUGGCCCUGCUCCUGACUCCGCCGCAGCCACUGACCAGAGGGGAAGCAGUGCAAGGUCUGCUGUUGCCGCUGCCACUGCCCGGAGGAAAGGUGAGGCAAAGUAAUACAGUGCAGGCCACAGCGCUUGACUGAUCCAGAGGGGAGGGGCUAGCAUAUGCUGUCCCUGUCUGCAACUCACUAGCACACUGCAGUGUGAAGGGUCACCUAGCCAGCACACUUCAAAGGAUUGUAACCAACAAAGAAAGUAACUGGGGCCUCCUGGAAGAAGCAAAAAAGAUGGGAAGGGGAAACAACAAGAAAAAAUCCCCAGGUCCCAACCCUGAGAACACUGACGCAGGACAGGUAAAUACAAAGGAGAAUGAGAACAGCAAACAUGCAAUAUCAGACUCAGCACCAGUGGAUAUAGAGAGAUAUAUUUGGGACCUCAUAGACGAGUUCAAAAGUAAAAUAUUUAGCCAAAUAAAGUAAGAAAUAAGAAAAUUAAAGAGAUACUAAGCAUCCCUCAAGCAGACACAGAUGGAAGGGAGGAACUCAAACAAAGGAGAGAACCAUUUGAUGAAUAUAAAAAAAUAUAGAAGGGGCUGGGGAUUUAGCUCAGCGGCAUAAACACCUGCCUAGUGGCAGGCAGUCGUGAGUUCAAUCCCUGGUACCGAUAAAAACGAAAAAGACCACAAAAAAAAUAUAUAGAGUACAUAAAGCAGAUUCAAAGAGAUCACUAUGAAAUUAAAAACUCUAUGGAAAGAUGGCAAAUCAGCUUGAAAGAAACUUAAGGAUAGAUUAUCCAAACUGGAGGACAAUUUUGCAAUGUGGGAGUAUGAAAGGGAAAAUUUUUAAAAAUAACAAGGAAACAAGCAUUAACAAUACAAAGGCUAGAAGAUGACAAAAGGAUCUAUAACGAGAAUAAAGAAUGUGAAUGAAGAAGCUGGGGUACAAACAAAGGAACUACAAAGGUUAUUCACAGAAAUAAUUAAGGAAAACUUCCCAAACAUAGGAAAAAGAAAUGAUAUUCUGAUAUAUGAUUCAUACAGAACUCUAGCCACGUACAACCAAAACAGAGCUAUACCCAGGCAUAUAAUAAUCAAGAUCCCAGAAAUUCAAUAUAAGAACAGAAUAUUAAAAGCUGUUGAGAUGAGAAACAGAUAACCUACAGAGGAAGGCCCAUCAGAAUAACGGCAGACUUCUCCACACAAACCAUCAAGUCAAGAAGAGUCUGGAGCGAAAUAUUCCAAGCCCUCAAAGAAAAUAACCUCCAACCCAGAUUGAUAUAUCCUGAUAAACUGUCUUUAGAAAUUAAUGGAGAAACAAGAUGCUUCCAAGACAAAGAGGAACUUGGGAAAUUGGCAACCACCAAUCCAAGUCUACAGAGAUACUGCAGGACAUUCUAGAGAAAGAGAAAAGUACUAGGAUUCCAGGAACAGUGGCAGAGAGGCCUCAAUGAAUGGAGCAGAAAACACAAUGAAGAAGAUAAGCAAACAACUGAUGGCAAACAAGAGCAUAACAGAAAUGAGGCAGAGAAGAUUUUAUUCAAAACUGAUAUGAUUGAUAGUAUCAAGUCUGAGGGUAUAGGCAACUACACUGAAGAUGACAAGACUCUAUGAUACACACUCUGGUUUGAUAACUGCCUGUUUUUGAAGUUCUAUUCUAUAUACAAAGUUGUGUUUUUAUUAACACUGUUAUGUACUGAUAUAUUCAAUUAUACUAUGUCUGAUGAUAUAGCCAACUCUAUUGGAGAUAACAAGAGACAACACAGGAACCGUGGUAAAUCUCUUUGUACAACAGUCUUAUAUGUUUAUUUCAUUUCAUGUGUUUAUAGGAAUGUUUUGUUUUGCCAUGCUGUGUUUUGUUUCUCCCUCUAAUAUAGAAAGGAUAGAAAAACAUGUUAAGACUCAUACAUGUAUAGAAUCUAUAAACAGCUUCAUGAGAACAGAUCUUAUGACACAUGAUGAAAUGAAGAGAUACUUUGAAGAAAAAGACACACUAAAAUACCCAGUGCUGAUCCUGGAGUAUCAUAAUGUGAAAUCCAGCAAUAGUAUUAUUCUUUGUUCAGAGUGAUAUUAGCCUGCUUGGGUUUAUUCAAUAACAACAUAAUUUAAGAUAUGGAUAACUGCAUGUAUGUUUAAGUGUAUAGGAUUGAUAACCAUAUUUCUAAGUUUUUGUUGGAUAGUUGAACAGAACUUGUUGCCAUCUCACUGUUUGAAUUCCCACUUUAUAUACUCCACUUUAGUAUCUUGAAUAACUAUUUGUAAGAAGACAAUCUGUAAUCAUCAACUAGUGAUUUCUUACUGUUUAUUUUUUCUUUGAUAUUAUGUAUUAUUUCUACCCAUUUUGUUUAUUCCUACUUUAAAUUAAAUUAAAAAAAGGCACUACACUACCCAGUGCUGAUCAGAGUGUCAUGAUGUGAAAUCCAGCAAUACUAUUAUUCUUUGUUCAGAAUGUUUCUAACCUGCUUUAGUUUGUUUAAUCUAAACAUAAAUGAAGAUAUGGAUAACUGCAUAUAUGUUUAAGUGUAUAGGAUUGACAACUAUGUUACUAAGUUUUUGUUGGACAGUUGAACAGAACUGUUUGCAGUCUCGCUGUUUGAAUUCCCACUUUAUAUAUUCUACUCUUGUACCUUGAACAACUAUUUGUAAAACAAUAUGUAAACAUCAACUUGUGAUUUCUUAUUGUUUUUUUCUCUGACCGUAUGUAUUAUUUCUACCAAUUUUCUGUUUUGCUUAGUCUUUCUUUAAAUAAAAUUUUAAAUAAAAUGA
Molecule: RNA transcript, 8507 nt
Organism: Cavia porcellus (domestic guinea pig)
Lineage: Eukaryota; Metazoa; Chordata; Mammalia; Rodentia; Caviidae
Gene: Mars2
Gene name: methionyl-tRNA synthetase 2, mitochondrial
Exons: 2
Source: RefSeq, a predicted model, not a curated record